Molecule: small RNA, 30 nt
Filed under: Bombyx mori (domestic silkworm)
Lineage: Eukaryota; Metazoa; Arthropoda; Insecta; Lepidoptera; Bombycidae
Description: ovarian small RNA-14136
Source: RNAcentral
CGAAGCACCGGAGGCAUCGCCAGGGGCGGU